UAGGGAAUCUUCCACAAUGGACGCAAGUCUGAUGGAGCAACGCCGCGUGAGUGAAGAAGGUCUUCGGAUCGUAAAGCUCUGUUGUUGGUGAAGAAGGAUAGAGGCAGUAACUGGUCUUUAUUUGACGGUAAUCAACCAGAAAGUCACGGCUAACUACGUGCCAGCAGCCGCGGUAAUACGUAGGUGGCAAGCGUUGUCCGGAUUUAUUGGGUGUAAAGCGAGCGCAGGCGGAAUGAUAAGUCUGAUGUGAAAGCCCACGGCUCAACCGUGGAACUGCAUCGGAAACUGUCAUUCUUGAGUGCAGAAGAAGGAGAGUGGAACUCCAUGUGUAAGCGGUGGAAUGCGUAGAUAUAUGGAAAGAACACCAGUGGCGAGCGUNUCUCUGGUCUGCAACUGACGCUGAGGCUCGAAAGCAUGGGUAGCGAACAGGAUUAGAUACCCUGGUAGUCCAUGCCGUAAAACGAUGAGCGCUAGGUGUUG
RNAcentral lists this ribosomal RNA (480 nucleotides) under uncultured bacterium. RNAcentral's name for it is "partial 16S ribosomal RNA". It matches the Rfam family "Bacterial small subunit ribosomal RNA", at positions 355 to 825 of the family's 1533-position model. The record is from RNAcentral.